CUCCCCAACACCCUUCCCUUGGUUACCCUCAGGUAUGGAGUCCAGAGUGGAGUCAGCCAUGCUCAGACCUUGACCCCCUUUUUUUAAAUUUAAUUUUUAGUAGAGAUAGGGGGUCUCACUAUGUUGCCCAGGCUAGCCUCAAACUCCCAAUCUCAAGCGAUCCUCCCCCCUUGGCUUCCAAAGUGCUGAGAUUACGGAUCUGAGCCUCCACGCCUGCCCUGAGCCUCGCCCUGCGGCUGCCUGGGCUCCUCCCCGCCUCCGCCCCGGACCACCAGGGGGCGCUGUGAAGCCUGAGACUGGCCGGGCUUCACCUUGGACCCGCCAGGAGUCCCUGCAGGAGUUGGGAGCCCCGCCAGCCACAGCUACUUCCCCGACCCUCCCGGCUUCCCACCGCUGAUUGGACCAGGCAUGGGCAUCUGACUGAGGGGAGCCUAUCCAUAGGCUGGCCAGUGAUCUAUCAGGGCUGGCCUAGUGAGAACACGGCCAAUCAGAUGCUUUCCUGGAACCCGGGGCCAAAGCUGCCCCAGGGGAGUGUGGUAGCCGCAGGCAGAAGGGCUAGCCCGGAGACAGGAGGGGGAGGUCCGAGGAGGGGAUCCCGGCGAGGGAGACGCGGGGCGAGUGGCCUGGGCUCCUCCUUGGCUUGACCCAGCUUAGACUUUCUCAAACCGAAGUCAUUCUCGCUGGCUCCUGGCGACUCUCAUCCUGUCCGCUGUCACCCUUUCGUGAUUGACCUGAAAUCACUUCGUCACUGCAGCCGCACCCUAAGCAUUCAUCUCAUAUCUGUGAUGUUUGCUGUGCUCCUUAUGUUUGCUCUAAUAUGGGUUAAACCAAAUUCAACACCAUCAAAAUAAUGUUCUUCCAUUUGCACACCCACUUUCACAGUAGCAGCGUUCCCAACAGCCAAAAGGUGGGAGCAGCCCACGGGUCCACGGACGGGUGAAGGGGUGAGCAAACAGUCUAUACGGACAGUGGAGAGCUCUUUAACCGCAGAAAGAAGGAAAUUCUGCAUAUGCUGCAACAUGGAUGAAAGACACAGAGUCUGGCUCUGGGGCCCAGGCUUGAGUGCAGUGGUGAGACGGGAGAAUAAGUCCUAGAGGAAGGGAACCUGAGGACUUCCCAGAACUAAAUCAGAUGGAGAGGAGAGAGGAGGCAUUUCAGCUACGACAGGAAAUAUCCUCUUCAUUUGCAUAGGGCGUUCACCAAGGUGCACACCAAAUAACCAAUGGAAACCUCUAGAGAGUAUUUAAACUCCAGAAAAUUCUGUGACGGGCUCUUGAGCCAACGUGCUCCGGCCGCUCCCACUCUGUGCAGUCGACUGUACUUUUGUUUUCAAUAAAACUCUGCUUUUGUUUCUUCA
This 1357-nucleotide long non-coding RNA is filed under the name Homo sapiens (human). RNAcentral describes it as "HSALNT0379437". Lineage: Eukaryota; Metazoa; Chordata; Mammalia; Primates; Hominidae. The record is from RNAcentral.